Molecule: ribosomal RNA, 253 nt
Filed under: uncultured bacterium
Lineage: Bacteria
Description: partial 16S ribosomal RNA
Rfam family: Bacterial small subunit ribosomal RNA
Source: RNAcentral
UACGUAGGGUGCAAGCGUUAAUCGGAAUUACUGGGCGUAAAGCGUGCGCAGGCGGUUUUGUAAGUCAGAUGUGAAAUCCCCGGGCUUAACCUGGGAACUGCGUUUGAAACUGGAAGGCUAGAGUGUGGCAGAGGGGGGUGGAAUUCCACGUGUAGCAGUGAAAUGCGUAGAUAUGUGGAGGAACACCGAUGGCGAAGGCAGCCCCCUGGGCUAACACUGACGCUCAUGCACGAAAGCGUGGGGAGCAAACAGG